UACGGAGGGUGCGAGCGUUGUCCGGAAUCAUUGGGCGUAAAGGGCGCGUAGGUGGCCCCUCAAGCGUGCGGUGAAAGUCAGGGGCUCAACCCCUGAUCGGCCGUGCGAACUGGGGAGCUUGAGCACUGUAGAGGCAGGCGGAAUUCCGGGUGUAGCGGUGGAAUGCGUAGAGAUCGGAAGAACACCGGUGGCGAAGGCGGCCUGACUGGGCAGUUUGCUGACACUGA
This 227-nucleotide ribosomal RNA is filed under the name uncultured bacterium. RNAcentral describes it as "partial 16S ribosomal RNA". It matches the Rfam family "Bacterial small subunit ribosomal RNA", at positions 524 to 749 of the family's 1533-position model. The record is from RNAcentral.